RNAcentral lists this small nucleolar RNA (131 nucleotides) under Carlito syrichta (Philippine tarsier). RNAcentral describes it as "Small nucleolar RNA SNORA57 (ENSTSYG00000026931.1)". It matches the Rfam family "Small nucleolar RNA SNORA57". From Rfam's summary of the family: U99 belongs to the H/ACA class of snoRNAs which are thought to guide the sites of modification of uridines to pseudouridines, the target for this family is unknown. The record is from Rfam by way of RNAcentral. Lineage: Eukaryota; Metazoa; Chordata; Mammalia; Primates; Tarsiidae.
CCCCUUUUUCUCAGCGGGGAGCAGGCAUCACGUAUGGAGGCAGAGAAAACGGACUCCGGCCCCUCGGUGUCAUGUCUCUGUGCCAGCGGCUUCCUGUCCACUGGUUCUAUUCCUCAAACGCCAAGACACCA